RNAcentral lists this ribosomal RNA (415 nucleotides) under uncultured bacterium. Its description in RNAcentral is "bacterial SSU rRNA". It matches the Rfam family "Bacterial small subunit ribosomal RNA", at positions 358 to 770 of the family's 1533-position model. The record is from RNAcentral.
GGAAUAUUGGACAAUGGAGGCAACUCUGAUCCAGCCAUCCCGCGUGCAGGAUGACGGCCCUAUGGGUUGUAAACUGCUUUUGUUAGGGAAGAACUCCCCGGAUUUAUCCGGGGCUGCCGGUACCUUUCGACUAAGCACCGGCUAACCCCGUGCCAGCCGCCGCGGUAAUACGGAGGGUGCAAGCGUUAACCGGAAUUACUGGGUUUAAAGGGUGCGUAGGCGGCGCAUUAAGUCAGAGGUGAAAGGCCGUGGCUCAACCAUGGAAUUGCCUUUGAUACUGAAGUGCUUGAAUCAGGUUGAGGGCAGCGGAAUGUGGCAUGUAGCGGUGAAAUGCAUAGAUAUGCCAUAGAACACCGAUUGCGAAGGCAGCUGCCUGGGCCUGGAUUGACGCUGAGGCACGAAAGCGUGGGGAGCG